RNAcentral lists this ribosomal RNA (578 nucleotides) under Lactarius hatsudake. Its description in RNAcentral is "eukaryotic LSU rRNA". The stretch from base 165 to 318 matches the Rfam family "5.8S ribosomal RNA". The record is from RNAcentral. Lineage: Eukaryota; Fungi; Basidiomycota; Agaricomycetes; Russulales; Russulaceae.
CAAAAGUCGUGCACGCCGGAGCAUGUCCUCUCUCUCACAUAAAAUCCAUCUCACCCUUUUGUGCACCACCGCGCGGGCACCCUUUGGGAUGCUUGCGUUUUCACACAAACCCCUUUUUAAAAAGUGUAGAAUGACCCCACUUUGCGAUGACACGCAAUCAAUACAACUUUCAACAACGGAUCUCUUGGCUCUCGCAUCGAUGAAGAACGCAGCGAAAUGCGAUACGUAAUGUGAAUUGCAGAAUUCAGUGAAUCAUCGAAUCUUUGAACGCACCUUGCGCCCCUUGGUAUUCCGAGGGGCACACCCGUUUGAGUGUCGUGAAAAUCUCAACCUUCUCGGUUUUCUUCUGGACACCGAAGGAGGCUUGGACUUUGGAGGCCUUUGCUGGCGUCUCUCUAGAGCCAGCUCCUCUUAAAUGAAUUAGCGGGGUCCUCUUUGCCGAUCCUUGACAUGUGAUAAGAUGUUUCCAUGACUCGGUUUCUGGCUCUGUUGCAUUUGGGACCUGCUUCUAACCGUCUCGACGAGACGAUGUUUGGGAGUGUCUCCCUUCUCGGGAGACUCUCUCGACCCCACGAACC